GUCAAAUAAAAAAUAAAUAUAUUUAAAAUCUUAUAAAAAUGAAAUUAAAAUAAGAUACUGUAUGCAUCCCACUAAAAAAAAAUCUCUUCCUCUAUUCAUAUCUCUCUUUCUCUCACUCCAUUUCCAUACAUCUUUUGUGGGGCUAAAACACCAUGUGCACAUCACUUUCCUACUUAUAUUCAUUUGUCUCAAGAUAAUAUACAUCCCCACCACCACCAACCAUACUCUCUACCUUAUAUGCUUCUACCACUAGUACAAAAGAAACCAUUUCCUUUACCUUUCUCUCUCUCUCAA
RNAcentral lists this long non-coding RNA (294 nucleotides) under Ricinus communis (castor bean). RNAcentral's name for it is "long non-coding RNA (RCOM_LNC002763)". The record is from RNAcentral. Lineage: Eukaryota; Viridiplantae; Streptophyta; Magnoliopsida; Malpighiales; Euphorbiaceae.